AUUAAGUUUAUUUUUCAGUUUUUAGAUAUAAUGUUUUGACUCUUUGUAUUAUUUAAAAAAAUUUACGAUUAAUAUUUUUAUUGUUACUAGAGGGUAAAAUAUGAAUAGUACUUUAUGUGUGGCUAAGUUUUUUUAUAAAUUUUUCGAAUAAGACGAAUGGUCAAGCAUUAUACACAAAAAUC
RNAcentral lists this microRNA precursor (182 nucleotides) under Oryza brachyantha (malo sina). Its description in RNAcentral is "MIR812 microRNA precursor family". It matches the Rfam family "MIR812 microRNA precursor family". Lineage: Eukaryota; Viridiplantae; Streptophyta; Magnoliopsida; Poales; Poaceae. The record is from Rfam by way of RNAcentral.